RNAcentral lists this unclassified non-coding RNA (369 nucleotides) under fungal sp. Its description in RNAcentral is "partial internal transcribed spacer region". The stretch from base 1 to 46 matches the Rfam family "Eukaryotic small subunit ribosomal RNA", at positions 1786 to 1831 of the family's 1831-position model. The record is from RNAcentral. Lineage: Eukaryota; Fungi.
AAGUCGUAACAAGGUUUCCGUAGGUGAACCUGCGGAAGGAUCAUUAACACGUAUCCAACGUUAAAACAACCCCGUGAACUUUCAGCUCCUGUAGCCCCUGGUAAAUCAUUGUUGACCAGCUUUUGAGUCAGGGACCUCUGCAGAAUGUGAUAUUUUAUAGCUACGGUUGAGCGAUUGCAUCUAGUGACCUGGCAUCCCCAAGUAAUCAGUGUUCUGAAAGUGUCAUAUUGAUUGUGUAAGGAUGGCGCAGUCACGAUCGCUGUAGGCCCACACGGCCGGCGACCGGGUCACCAGUCUAACUUCGCCGCGCGUGAAAUUCGCACGGCACCAAAAACCGAACAACUGUUAACAAUGGAUAUCUUGGUUCUC